CCACUGGGGGUCUUAGAAUAUAUCCUCUGUGGAUAACAGAGAGACAACUAUACAUUAUGUAAAAUAAUGUAUAAUGUGCUUAAUUAUUACUGUGUCUAAGGUCAACAAUGUCUUGCCAUGUAUUUAAUUUAUAGAUUAAAAUUUAUUAUAAAUAUGUAUGUACCAGAAAAUCACAUUCUAUAUGGGGGGGGGGGUUCAGCAGGUGUUCACUUAUAUCCAAGCUUUUAGCCAUCCACAGGAGUUCUUGAAUGUAUCCCCCUCAGAUAAUUUAGAUCAAACUUAACAGUGUAUUAUGCAUGGGUUUGUUUUUGUUUUUGUUUUUUUUGAAAGCUGGUUGUUAAACCCCUGCCUAAUACACUUCAUACCCUCCUGAACAUCACCUUCAGAUGACUCUUACAGCCUGCCUCUUCCAUGCGUUCUCAUAUGCUGCUGAAUGAAUUUUGGGAGCAUCGUACAACCAUGCCAUCUGUGUCUACUACAAAUUGAUGUUAUCUCAUCUCAACUGGAUCCUUAUUGUAGGAAGUUUUGCUUUUGUAGCUUCAUAACUCCCCAAUCCAAGAAGAUCCAUUUGAAAUAAGCAGGAAUUGAGCCGGAAGAAGGGGACAAUCCUCGAGAAAUAGAAGGAACAAAAGAGAUGGGAGCAGGUUCACAACCAUUUUCAAGAUCUACUUGAGUGGAAUCAUCCAACAUAUUGAAGCCCUCUCAUCAUGGCUUAGCACCUCUUCCAAGGGCAAGGAAUGUCCAAGAGUUAGUGAAUAUAAAGUGCUCCCAGGUGAAGAGUAGCACUCAUCUUUAGGGUUUCUUCCUGCUUUGGGAAAUUUCAAGACAGUUGGUUGCUGGGACCAAUUGGCCCUUUGAUUGCUCACUGGGUAUCUUGCUCAACUCUAUAAACCACCACCAUGAUGCACUGACACUCUUGGCAAAAACACAUUUUGGCAAAUACAAAGUUACUAGCAUUCUGUUCAGCAUCUGUUCCACAGUCAAUUCCCUAGCCUCUGAGUAAAUUGACACUUUGGUGUAUUCCUUCUCAUGCAUCUAAUGGGACUCUUAACCAAGGCAUGGGGUGGGAUAUAUAACAACCUCCAUUUCACUUUCAUCUCUUCCUUUAGCUAUUCCAUUGUUCAAAUUAUAUAAGAUGAUGCAUAGAUGUACUAAGCAACCCCACAUCCCUCUGUAUCCCCACCCCCAAUCCCUCUCUAGCUCUCUAGACUAACAAGUUCUUGUCUGAAUUUGACCGUAGUUCAUCAUUCCAUCUGUAUUUCGAGCUUCUGUCCAAUAUGUUCCUCCUAAUUUAAUCAUAAGGGCCCUGGUUUCUCCCACUCUCUGUCUUUCUGUAUCCCUUUCUCCAGAGGGAAUGGGGAAAGAGUGGAUUAUGUUGCAAUAAGGAUGGAGCUCUAAGAGCAAUUCCCUGGUUGUAAAGAGAGAAAUACUGAGUCAGGGAGAUGGUGCAUAUACUGGCAGGCACUGAACUGAAGACUGGCUAUGCAUUGGAAACUGUGUGACAGACUGCAUGGGGGUGGGGGCAAAGGAGAAAGCAAUGACCUGAUCCUUUGUGUUUUCCUUUGUAGAAAUACUGGUAGAAAAGGUAGAG
This is a long non-coding RNA of Monodelphis domestica (gray short-tailed opossum), 1591 nucleotides long. Lineage: Eukaryota; Metazoa; Chordata; Mammalia; Didelphimorphia; Didelphidae. The record is from Ensembl.